GCAGCAUAAAUGGUACGCUGCCACUUUAAGAUCAAUUUCGGCUGCUGCAUAUAAGCAGGUGUCUACCUGCCACAAGACUACUUGCGUCAUGACGUCAACUCAUUCUGCUUAGUUUGUUUGCUGAGCUGAACUGUGCUGGCCUCCCUUGCUGUGCCUCCAACUCCUGGACCAAUUUGUUUGGUUGUUUGCUGCCGGGAAGGUAAGCGCUAGCAUGGCUAGGUAACAUCCGUCUCAUGUAAACGAAGCCUUUAUGUAGUGUUCUGUUACAGCUGCGCUCCAUAGGUGACCUUGUGGAUCUGUUAAUCUGGCCGUGUGGUAAUUUACAGGUAAGCAGCUACCAUAAGUCAUAGUUUUUAUCAGCAGUGGUAUUAAUAAUCUACUUUAUUUUUUAGCCCCCUGCCGAGUCCCUGACGACUAUUAAAUUUGGAUGUACACUCGCUGCUGUUUUGCCUACGAUGAAUUGUUUUAAAAGAUUUGUAUGAACUUUCCCCUGCUGCCGGGAGCAUUGAUGGCACUACGAUCGGGAUAAAAAGCAAUAUUGUAGUGCCAUUGUAUCACUGUUUUACUCAUAUUGUUUCAUUUUUUGUCUUUCUUUUAGGGACUGAGGCUUCUGUGGUGGCGGUGGUGACCCCUGGUGGCGGUGUCUUGUCUUGUGUGUUUUGUUGGAACACCCCUUUUUUUUGUGUGUGUGUUUGCCGUGUCUUUGUAGUGUCCAGGGUGAUCCCUUUUCUUCACUGGAUGUUGCCCCUUUCCUCACUACACUGGUAAGCCUCAGUUUCCUUUGAAAUUUAAACAUUUUAUAAUCAACUUUAUUAAAAAGGCAUUCACUGUUUUAACUAUUCAAUUUCAGGUUAUUGUUAAUUUAAACAACCUAUUAAAGUUUAAUAAAUUUUUUG
Xiphophorus couchianus (Monterrey platyfish) is the source of this 896-nucleotide long non-coding RNA. RefSeq lists it as uncharacterized. Lineage: Eukaryota; Metazoa; Chordata; Actinopteri; Cyprinodontiformes; Poeciliidae. The record is from RefSeq and is a predicted model, not a curated record. The transcript is spliced from 2 exons.